RNAcentral lists this long non-coding RNA (207 nucleotides) under Lathyrus oleraceus (garden pea). RNAcentral describes it as "Pisum sativum (pea) long non-coding RNA (PSAT_LNC005812)". The record is from RNAcentral. Lineage: Eukaryota; Viridiplantae; Streptophyta; Magnoliopsida; Fabales; Fabaceae.
UGAUUUGCCAGCUCAAUUAAUGAGCUCAGAUCAAAUGAUUCAUGCUUUUUCCUAUUUUCUAAUUUCUGAUUUUAAUUUCUUUUAUUUCUUUUAAUUCCAUUUCAUUUUAGAAAUUCAUAUCUCUCUCAUUAUUGGUCCAAAAAUUAUGGGACCAAUUUCAUUUUUCUCCUUUUAAUUUCUACUUUCUAAAAAUGAUUUUUAAUAUUU